AAAUUGAAGAGUUUGAUCAUGGCUCAGAUUGAACGCUGGCGGCAGGCCUAACACAUGCAAGUCGAGCGGAAACGAGUUGUCAGAACCUUCGGGGAACGAUAACGGCGUCGAGCGGCGGACGGGUGAGUAAUGCCUAGGAAAUUGCCCUGAUGUGGGGGAUAACCAUUGGAAACGAUGGCUAAUACCGCAUGAUGCCUA
RNAcentral lists this ribosomal RNA (198 nucleotides) under Vibrio parahaemolyticus. RNAcentral describes it as "partial 16S ribosomal RNA". It matches the Rfam family "Bacterial small subunit ribosomal RNA", at positions 1 to 182 of the family's 1533-position model. The record is from RNAcentral. Lineage: Bacteria; Pseudomonadati; Pseudomonadota; Gammaproteobacteria; Vibrionales; Vibrionaceae.